UACGGAGGGAGCUAGCGUUGUUCGGAAUUACUGGGCGUAAAGCGCACGUAGGCGGCUUUGUAAGUUAGAGGUGAAAGCCCGGGGCUCAACCCCGGAAUUGCCUUUGAGACUGCAUCGCUAGAAUUGUGGAGAGGUAAGUGGAAUUCCGAGUGUAGAGGUGAAAUUCGUAGAUAUUCGGAAGAACACCAGUGGCGAAGGCGACUUACUGGACACAUAUUGACGCUGAGGUGCGAAAGCGUGGGGAGCAACAGGG
RNAcentral lists this ribosomal RNA (253 nucleotides) under uncultured bacterium. Its description in RNAcentral is "partial 16S ribosomal RNA". It matches the Rfam family "Bacterial small subunit ribosomal RNA", at positions 524 to 776 of the family's 1533-position model. The record is from RNAcentral.